RNAcentral lists this long non-coding RNA (401 nucleotides) under Helianthus annuus (common sunflower). The record is from RNAcentral. Lineage: Eukaryota; Viridiplantae; Streptophyta; Magnoliopsida; Asterales; Asteraceae.
AGUGAUCACUCGGGCUAGAGGAUCACAAGGUAUGUCGAAUUCCAUCUUUUGGUGAUUUUUUUGAAUUCAUGUUUGACUCUGACAAGCUAGGUAGGAGCUUGGAAAUGAACGGGUCAAAUGGAUACAAGUUCAAGUAUGAGGCUCGCAAGGAUGCAAGGUGAAUGUUAUAUGCUUCCGCAUGAGGAUCAAGCCACGAGCAAGAACCGAACACACCUCUCAAUGAAGCUUCCGCAUUCGAUCUUGUUUUGUUUUAAUAAAAGUGGAUUAUGUAAACACUUUUAGCGAUGUUUUGGAUGUUGUAAACAUGUUUAAAUACUUAUGAUGUAAAAGUUUUUGUUAAGUGGCAUUUUUCAUAUAAAAUGCUUACUUUAAUGUUAUGUAAAGGAUAAAAAUUAUUAUGG